This 468-nucleotide ribosomal RNA is filed under the name uncultured bacterium. Its description in RNAcentral is "partial 16S ribosomal RNA". It matches the Rfam family "Bacterial small subunit ribosomal RNA", at positions 28 to 507 of the family's 1533-position model. The record is from RNAcentral.
GACGAACGCUGGCGGCGUGCUUAACACAUGCAAGUCGAACGGAAAGGCCCUGCUUUUGUGGGGUGCUCGAGUGGCGAACGGGUGAGUAACACGUGAGUAACCUGCCCUUGACUUUGGGAUAACUUCAGGAAACUGGGGCUAAUACCGGAUAGGAGCUCCUGCUGCAUGGUGGGGGUUGGAAAGUUUCGGCGGUUGGGGAUGGACUCGCGGCUUAUCAGCUUGUUGGUGGGGUAGUGGCCUACCAAGGCUUUGACGGGUAGCCGGCCUGGGCGGGUGACCGGCCAGAUGGGGACUGAGAUACGGCCCAGACUCCUACGGGAGGCAGCAGGGGGGAAUAGUGCACGAUGGGCGGAAGCCUGAUGCAGCAACGCCGCGUGCGGGAUGACGGCCUUCGGGUUGUAAACCGCUUUCGCCUGUGACGAAGCGUGAGUGACGGUAAUGGGUAAAGAAGCACCGGCUAACUACGUG